RNAcentral lists this ribosomal RNA (254 nucleotides) under uncultured bacterium. RNAcentral's name for it is "partial 16S ribosomal RNA". It matches the Rfam family "Bacterial small subunit ribosomal RNA", at positions 524 to 775 of the family's 1533-position model. The record is from RNAcentral.
UACGUAGGGUGCAAGCGUUGUCCGGAAUUAUUGGGCGUAAAGAGCUUGUAGGCGGUUUGUCGCGUCUGCUGUGAAAUUUCGGGGCUCAACCCCCGAACUUGCAGUGGGUACGGGCAGACUAGAGUGUGGUAGGGGAGACUGGAAGUUCCUGGUGUAGCGGUGAAAUGCGCAGAUAUCAGGAGGAACACCGAUGGCGAAGGCAGGUCUCUGGGCCAUAACUGACGCUGAGAAGCGAAAGCAUGGGGAGCGAACAG